This 253-nucleotide ribosomal RNA is filed under the name uncultured bacterium. RNAcentral's name for it is "partial 16S ribosomal RNA". It matches the Rfam family "Bacterial small subunit ribosomal RNA", at positions 524 to 776 of the family's 1533-position model. The record is from RNAcentral.
UACGGAGGGUGCGAGCGUUGUCCGGAAUCACUGGGCGUAAAGGGCGCGUAGGCGGCCUGAUAAGUAGGGGGUGAAAUCCUGCGGCUUAACCGCAGGGCUGCCUUCUAAACUGUCAGGCUCGAGCACAGUAGAGGCAGGUGGAAUUCCCGGUGUAGCGGUGGAAUGCGUAGAGAUCGGGAAGAACAUCAGUGGCGAAGGCGGAUCUCUGGGCCUUACCUGACGCUCAGGUGCGAAAGCUAGGGGAGCGAACAGG